Odontomachus brunneus is the source of this 3435-nucleotide long non-coding RNA. RefSeq lists it as uncharacterized. The transcript is spliced from 2 exons. The record is from RefSeq and is a predicted model, not a curated record. NCBI's taxonomy places the organism in Eukaryota, Metazoa, Arthropoda, Insecta, Hymenoptera, Formicidae.
ACUAAACGAGAGAAGAAAGAAUGAAAGUACACAACUGCCGGACGAGUCAAAUCGCGACGUUCAUCCCGAAUACAUCGGUUGUCUCGGCGACCAUCCCGUCGGGUCUCACGCCCGAUUACACGCCGGUGGCCGACGUUGUCAGUGCUGCCAAUCGUACGGCCGACCACCCGUCAACACGCGUCACCAGAGGUCUGUUCUUUUUAGCUGAGCUAGGUUCCACUUUUUGCCUUUAGAGUGAAACAAGUGUGUAAGAACAACUUCAACGAAAGGGGAACGAAGUUUCAGUGCGGUAUCAGUGCUGAAAGCUUUCGGCUAAAAAGAACAGGCUUCAGUUCUUGUGAUCUCUCAAACGUUUCUCGAAGGGAAUCGAUUGCUCGAACGUUUCUCGAAGGGAAUCGACUACAGUGAGUUCGAGAGUUUGAAUAGGUGCGGCUCUCAUCCACUUUUACCGACGUCGAUGAAAUCUUAAUCUCAUAACGUUUUUUACUUAGAUGUACUAGAAAGCUGGUGCAGCAACAGCUAGAUUUCGAUGAAAACUAAACCAGUGCAAUAAUAGUGCGUGUUUAGUAUGGUUUAGUGAAAUUCAUUAGACGAAAUUUCUUCUUAAACUUGAAAAGGUAAAUAAUUUUAUUUCUUGAUUAAAAAUAUGCUAACCCACACAGCACAUAAUAUUAUAUAAUAUCACAGUAAUAUUUCCGUAAUAUUGUAAUAUCGCAGAAAUAUUAUUAAAAUAUUACUGUGAUAUUAUAUAUAUCACGUGCUGUGUGGGAAGUUUUACUUAAGCUUACCCGCUUGUCAAUCAUUUCAUAAAAAUCAUGUCUUUUAUAUAACUUUUGAAAUUUUUGGUGUGGGAUUGAUGUGAAAUAUACGAUAGCAAAAUUUCAUCGUUAUAUAUAUAUAUAUAUAUAUAUAUAUAUAUAUAUAUAUAUAUAUAUAUAUAUAUAUAUAUACACAUACACUGAUUGAAGACAAUAAUUCUAAUACAUCCAUUUUAUAACUUUAUCUAAUAGUAAAAAUAUAUGAACUUGAAUUGUUUAUUUUACAAUAGUACCCUGAUUGAAUCAUUUCCAAAACUUUCAAGAUUUUUAAACAUUAAAAUGUCAUUACGCGACUGUUAUUAGACACGUCAAAACACAAACAAAAUCGUUAUUAUGAAAUUAAUUACAAUAAGAACAAUGUCAAAUCUUCAAACCUUAAUAUCAUAUUUUAUAAUAUAUCAUACCUUCAAACAUAACCACAAUUUAAAUGAUAUUCCAGUGUCUCUGAAGAUAACAGAGCAAAAGUUGUACUCAAUAUAAUUCUGUUGUACCAGUUUUGUCAUCAGAAUAUUAGACACUGAAGAUAUGUGAAUAGAUGUUAACAGUAAAACAAUAAAAUUACCCUUAGUAUCGUUGCACUGGUUUAUCUAGUAGAGAAAACGUUAUUAGUUUAAGCUUUAUUCAUAGACAAAGACAUAAACUCGCGUUAAGGUCUAAUCGGCAUUGGCAGAAACGAGUAUCAGUCGCACAUGGCCGUGGAGUUUCGAGGAACGAAAGAGUUUCUAGCGUUCGACGAUCAUUUCGCCAGUUUUGAUCAAAUAUUUACACGCCGAUCAACGAUUUGCGCUUCAGUCGGUUUAGGUGUAUGUCUCAUCGUGAUUUCGAGUGUGUGGCGAAAGAAAUAAAUCAGAUAAGCCGCGUUUCCCACAGAAUCAAGUGAAUCUGCGUUUUACGACUAUCGAUAUCGCAUUGCAUCAUGUUUGUUGGAUAACUUCAUUCGGUUAUACGUUUUCUCGCUCUCCUUCUGUUCCUUUGGUACCUUUUCGCUUCCUUCGUUUCCGCCGACCUCGGUGCCAAUCAAAAUAUAAUAUGUUAAUGUGUAGUUCGUUCAAAUGCAUUAUUCCGGAGCGAUGUUUAAUUCACGCGGAAGUACAUAACGAUUCCUUUCGUCAGCCGUGUUGCGUUCGUGUAAAAUCGGAAUUGUACGAAUAGGUCUCAACGGAAUGUCGUGAUAAUGGGAAGAAAAAGGAAUGAGGGAGCAAUGAAGAGAAAGCAACUCCAAGUUCGUCGUCCCGACACCAAUUCGCACAUUCUGAGAUCUAACUGCGUAAGGGAAAUGUCUAAUAGAUGAUACUCUUGCACGGAUAUUAUCAAAUAUUAAAGGAAAACAAACUCAAAUUUAAAACAAACAUGAGAAACGAAAUUUAAAAGGGAAACGAAUAAUAAAUAAUAAUGGUAAAUAUGCAGUAUAACGCUCUCAUCCUAGAUUUUUUCCAAACUUUGUAAAUUUGUAUAUUUUCGGGCGUAGAAUUGAUUUCUGAAAACGAAAAUUGUCGCUCAUUUUUCAUUUUCUUGUUUUUUUAUUUUAAUGUUAUAUGCUGUCGGUAAGAGAGUAGAAAAGUAAUAACUUUCGUUAUAAAACUUAUUGACAUCAUAAAAUAUUGAAAUAAAAAAACAAGAAAAAUAAGCGACAAUUUUCGCUUUCAGAAAUCAAUUCUACGUGUUAAAAUAUACAAAUUUACAAAGUUCGAAAAACAUCCAAGAUGAGAGCAUUAUGCUGCAUAUUUACCAUAAUAAUCGCUAAAUAAUUAAUAAGUAAUUGAUAAAUCCCCAUGUACCUUAAUAUUUGAUAAAAUCUGAGAGAAAACUGACAGGUACUGUAACGAAUACGUUUCCCCGAAUUCUUUAUUUUCGCGUCCAUUCUUCCUCGCAAUAGAUUGAUGGGUGCGACGACCGCUUGGAGGAAGAUCUACGUAGAAAAAAUGUUUUGCGACUUUGUGUAUUUCGAUUUGGAAAGAUUUCGACGCUGUGUCGACGCAGCUGCGGAAAUAGGAUGUUAUGCGUCACGCGGGGCUCGUCAACAGGAAUACAUUAGCGACACGCGGAUUGGCAUUAACAUUCGCAAUGACGUAGAGUAGGUCAUUGGCGUAUGCAUUUGUUUUCGCCCGUUUCCUGCUUCUCUACUCCCCCUGCCACUUCUCAUUUGUCGCUACAACAACGUUUAUGCAAGAUUGUAACGAAUCAAGAACCUAUUGAAAUUGAUGAUAUCAUUGUUGAUACCGGAGUGCGUAAAUUGCCGGCGAGUGAUUGGAGAGGAUAACUGUUUUUAAGUCGCAAGCCGACGCAUUGUGAAAUACUGCGUAGAAGACACGAUCGAGAGUUUCUCUUAGUGAUGACUGGGAGCGGAGUGGUGACUUUUAAAAGGACCUUCUCUCUCUCUCCACUUGAUCGCUUGUGCGAAAUCAUAAAUUAGAGCGUGUUAACUCCUAUACGAUCGGGCUUUUGCGUGUCCUUAUUUGGCAUGAAGGUCGAAUACCGUGAAGGAACGUCGUCUACGAUGCAGUCAUAUAAAAUCGACCGCAUUUAUCAACGACCUCUGAAUGUUCGCAACGAUAACAAUAUGAUAUUCUAAAGCUUGAGUGUUGUAUAUACUAAUGCGAAUAAAUAAGGAAAACAA